This 125-nucleotide ribosomal RNA is filed under the name uncultured bacterium. RNAcentral describes it as "partial 16S ribosomal RNA". It matches the Rfam family "Bacterial small subunit ribosomal RNA", at positions 1378 to 1501 of the family's 1533-position model. The record is from RNAcentral.
CCCUUGUACACACCGCCCGUCACACCAUGGGAGUUGGUUUACCUGAAGGCGGUGCGCUAACCCGCAAGGGAGGCAGCCGACCACGGUAGGGUCAGCGACUGGGGUGAAGUCGUAACAAGGUACCC